Crotalus tigris (Tiger rattlesnake) is the source of this 3051-nucleotide long non-coding RNA. RefSeq lists it as uncharacterized. The transcript has 3 exons. NCBI's taxonomy places the organism in Eukaryota, Metazoa, Chordata, Lepidosauria, Squamata, Viperidae. The record is from RefSeq and is a predicted model, not a curated record.
GAGAGAGAGAAAAAAGCUAUUAGAAUAGGAAGACUGGCCUCUUAAGAAUGACUGGAUGGCAAAGUCUGAAUGCAGGAAGUUUCAUUGUUGAAAAGGAAAGAAAAAGUAGCAGUUACAUUUUUUUUUAACAAUCAGAAAGUUCCAGACCUCUUUACUCCAUAAUCUGGUUCUUUGGGAUGUAUUUUAAAAAAAGACCAGAUAAGCACACAGAAACUGAACAACAGCUGCAUAUUUUUCCUAAGAUGCAGCUUUCCAAAAUUUCAAAAUCAAUUAUCUUUCAAGACCUGAAUAGAAACAGAGAAAUGGGAAGCUGGUUUGCAUAUUUAUCUAUUAGGCUAAUACUAGAACUAGUUAACAGAAUAAAAGUGCGUAGGAACUAAAUAAAACAGUAAUCAUAUCUCAACCUAAUUAGCCAAGAUAAUCUUUUAACAGGAUCAUCAGUGUUCUUUCUGAUGCAUCUGUAUUAAUGAACCAAAUACUUUACUUUUUUAAUAUGGGAAAUUAUGAUUAUAAGUUUAGGAAACAUGAAUUUAAACUAACUUCAAAUUAUGAUUUUACAAUACAAACAUCAAUACAAAAAAUGAAACUGUAGUUAUUUAAAUUUUAAUUUUGAAUACUAAUUGAUUUGUUUGAAAACUGGAAUUAAUUUAGGGUUUACAACCACUAAUGUGAGUUAAUGACAUAGCAUAUUUGCUCCUUGUGAUGUCAUAAGGGAUGUGAACAGAAGUAAGCAAGAAGCUUGGGGCCUCCAUUGAACUAUGUGCUUCAUACCCAAAGAUGAAUUAAAAUAUAAAAAAAGCACUUGGGGUCAUAAGCAGGAGAUUACCAGACACAUUUUGAAAGUGCUACUUGAAGGCAGGUACUAGUGAUCUAAAUCAGACUGCAAUCUGAUGCUUAUUUACUCAGAUAGAUAUGAUUGCAAUUUCGAGUGCAUUUUGGCAUAAAACUUUAAAACAUCACAGAUGGAUACGUGGAAUGUUACAAAUAUUAUUAUCACAAUUCGGCUUAAAGUGAAAGGGUGCUGAGGUGAGGUUACUGUGUGCAAUAUGUAUGGACUACAGUUCAAGCUGAAAUCCUGACCAUUAUGAUUCCAGCUAUUCUUCACUGGGGUUGCCAUCCUUUUUGACCCAUCAGGACUCUUGCACAUUUGCAAAGUCCUCCACAAUCAAUUACAAUUAAAAAAGGAGGGCAAGCCUAUUAAUGGGUGCUAGUUCUACAAACUGAUUUUGAAACUGUUCAAUAAAAGCUUGUAUUUAGCAAUUGAUCAUUGUCAGUCUGUGUUAGUUGAUGGGAUCCUAUCUACCAUCAUAUAGUUCUAAUAUAUGCAAGUCUUGAACUCUAAAUGGAAGCUCAAAAGACUUCCUGUUACAAGGACUCAACUCAGCCCUUGAAAUGAGAAAAAGAAUGUUAAUUCCUAUUACUACUUCUGUGAUGGACCAUGCAAUCUGGUACCAGAGAAAAACCAUAAAGAUAUAUUCUGCUGAGGCAAGAACUGGUAUGCCCAAGAAAUCAAGGAGAGUCAGCAUACAUUUGAAUAAAGAAAAGUUGUAAGAGAUUAUUCAAAUGAUGCAAGAAGUCAAGGUUGGGUUUAUAAAUUGCACUAAUUCAUAAUAUAAUGUAUUUAUUUUUGACUGAACAUGUCACAUUAAGUUUGCAAAUCACAGAUUUGGGAGUUACUGUACGUGAAUCUAGCUAUUGUGUCUUAUUUAACAAACCACAAUAUAGUACACUGUGAACUGACAAUGAACAACAGAUGAGUGUUAAAUGUUCUCUUGUUUAAUGACAAAUCACCACUUUAUACAAUCAUAGUUUAGCAUCUACAUUUGGACCUAUGCCAUGAUAUGCCCAUUUUGUAUUUUCCUUUCUACAACCUUCCUCCAUCAUAUGUGCAGGAAGGACCUGCCCUUUUUUUUUUUUACCUCUGCCUUUUUUUUGCCUCUAAAAUAAUUAUUUCUGCCCAGGUAUGACUUUAUUCAGAUUUGUUACCUUUGACUUUUAUUCGUUCCAUAUUCAAGCUUGCAUUGCCUGUUCUUUCCUAGUGUACCAUUCAAUAAAAAUAUUAGCAUUGGCUCCUAGAAGAGUAAUAUGCUUCUUUUAAUUGCAAUCUAAUCCUCCCUUAUGCUACCUUGAUGAAACUGAAUUCAGAGAUGCCAGGCCUCUAUGUGCAUCGUCAAAUAUAUGAUUAUCUACAAAAAGUGCAGACAUCUGUAUUAAUUCAGGAACCCUUGGUUCAGUUAAAUAGGAGUUAAUGUGUUGCAUAUUUUUAUGGCUAGCUCAUGAUUCAGUGACAAGUCAGCUUCUGUAAAAGAAUUUAAACCUGUUUACAGGGAGCACUACUGCUUCGCAUUUUGAUGGCCUCAUUAAAAAAAAACAUUGUUAUAUAGAACAUUAUGACUGUGUGUAUGGUUGACAUUCUGUACAUUAAUAGAAUAAAGCCUAGUCACGUAGGAUUUCUAUACUCCAUGCCCUAGCAUUUGCACUGGUAUUUAUUGUUUUGGUUUGGCUAAGUCAAACUGUAAUAUAAUUACUUCAUAUUAUCACUGGCUGGCAACUUUGUGGCAAGACAAUAGGGUUACUUUGCUGAUUUUAAAACAGAAAUUCUACAGAACUGGCAUCACAUUCCUAUUGUAUGCACUAUUUUAAAAAUGGCAUUUGACACAAUUUAUUUAUCUGACAUGUUGGAUACCCUAAUAAUUUGGUGAAGAAUUUCUCAUAUUUGGUAGCUUAUAAUCAACUUGAUUGGAAAAAUAUCUAUUUGACUUGUUAGAAAAAUACAAAUAAAAUACUUCCCUUUUAAACCAGAAAUAGGAAUAUCUCUAAGUCUUUCAGCUCUUCAAAUGUUAGAAGAAACAAUUAGAAACAGCAAUUUACUGUGUCGAGAUUACUGUAUAUACAAUUUUCUUUUGACUGCCCAAAUUAUUCAAUUAAUAGCAAUAACACUUAGACAUAUAAUACUGCUCCAUAGUGCUUUACAACACUCCUUGGGCAGUUUGCAAUGUCAGCAUAUUGCCCCCAAUAAUUUGGGCCCUCAUUUUAGUAACCUCGGCAGGA